Molecule: long non-coding RNA, 2063 nt
Filed under: Homo sapiens (human)
Lineage: Eukaryota; Metazoa; Chordata; Mammalia; Primates; Hominidae
Description: HSALNT0363323
Source: RNAcentral
AAUUAAUACCAAUAGAAGGGCAAUGCUUUUAGAUUAAAAUGAAGGUGACUUAAACAGCUUAAAGUUUAGUUUAAAAGUUGUAGGUGAUUAAAAUAAUUUGAAGGCGAUCUUUUAAAAAGAGAUUAAACCGAAGGUGAUUAAAAGACCUUGAAAUCCAUGACGCAGGGAGAAUUGCGUCAUUUAAAGCCUAGUUAACGCAUUUACUAAACGCAGACGAAAAUGGAAAGAUUAAUUGGGAGUGGUAGGAUGAAACAAUUUGGAGAAGAUAGAAGUUUGAAGUGGAAAACUGGAAGACAGAAGUACGGGAAGGCGAAGAAAAGAAUAGAGAAGAUAGGGAAAUUAGAAGAUAAAAACAUACUUUUAGAAGAAAAAAGAUAAAUUUAAACCUGAAAAGUAGGAAGCAGAAGAAAAAAGACAAGCUAGGAAACAAAAAGCUAAGGGCAAAAUGUACAAACUUAGAAGAAAAUUGGAAGAUAGAAACAAGAUAGAAAAUGAAAAUAUUGUCAAGAGUUUCAGAUAGAAAAUGAAAAACAAGCUAAGACAAGUAUUGGAGAAGUAUAGAAGAUAGAAAAAUAUAAAGCCAAAAAUUGGAUAAAAUAGCACUGAAAAAAUGAGGAAAUUAUUGGUAACCAAUUUAUUUUAAAAGCCCAUCAAUUUAAUUUCUGGUGGUGCAGAAGUUAGAAGGUAAAGCUUGAGAAGAUGAGGGUGUUUACGUAGACCAGAACCAAUUUAGAAGAAUACUUGAAGCUAGAAGGGGAAGUUGGUUAAAAAUCACAUCAAAAAGCUACUAAAAGGACUGGUGUAAUUUAAAAAAAACUAAGGCAGAAGGCUUUUGGAAGAGUUAGAAGAAUUUGGAAGGCCUUAAAUAUAGUAGCUUAGUUUGAAAAAUGUGAAGGACUUUCGUAACGGAAGUAAUUCAAGAUCAAGAGUAAUUACCAACUUAAUGUUUUUGCAUUGGACUUUGAGUUAAGAUUAUUUUUUAAAUCCUGAGGACUAGCAUUAAUUGACAGCUGACCCAGGUGCUACACAGAAGUGGAUUCAGUGAAUCUAGGAAGACAGCAGCAGACAGGAUUCCAGGAACCAGUGUUUGAUGAAGCUAGGACUGAGGAGCAAGCGAGCAAGCAGCAGUUCGUGGUGAAGAUAGGAAAAGAGUCCAGGAGCCAGUGCGAUUUGGUGAAGGAAGCUAGGAAGAAGGAAGGAGCGCUAACGAUUUGGUGGUGAAGCUAGGAAAAAGGAUUCCAGGAAGGAGCGAGUGCAAUUUGGUGAUGAAGGUAGCAGGCGGCUUGGCUUGGCAACCACACGGAGGAGGCGAGCAGGCGUUGUGCGUAGAGGAUCCUAGACCAGCAUGCCAGUGUGCCAAGGCCACAGGGAAAGCGAGUGGUUGGUAAAAAUCCGUGAGGUCGGCAAUAUGUUGUUUUUCUGGAACUUACUUAUGGUAACCUUUUAUUUAUUUUCUAAUAUAAUGGGGGAGUUUCGUACUGAGGUGUAAAGGGAUUUAUAUGGGGACGUAGGCCGAUUUCCGGGUGUUGUAGGUUUCUCUUUUUCAGGCUUAUACUCAUGAAUCUUGUCUGAAGCUUUUGAGGGCAGACUGCCAAGUCCUGGAGAAAUAGUAGAUGGCAAGUUUGUGGGUUUUUUUUUUUUACACGAAUUUGAGGAAAACCAAAUGAAUUUGAUAGCCAAAUUGAGACAAUUUCAGCAAAUCUGUAAGCAGUUUGUAUGUUUAGUUGGGGUAAUGAAGUAUUUCAGUUUUGUGAAUAGAUGACCUGUUUUUACUUCCUCACCCUGAAUUCGUUUUGUAAAUGUAGAGUUUGGAUGUGUAACUGAGGCGGGGGGGAGUUUUCAGUAUUUUUUUUUGUGGGGGUGGGGGCAAAAUAUGUUUUCAGUUCUUUUUCCCUUAGGUCUGUCUAGAAUCCUAAAGGCAAAUGACUCAAGGUGUAACAGAAAACAAGAAAAUCCAAUAUCAGGAUAAUCAGACCACCACAGGUUUACAGUUUAUAGAAACUAGAGCAGUUCUCACGUUGAGGUCUGUGGAAGAGAUGUCCAUUGGAGAAAUGGCUGGUAGU